UACGUAGGGGGCAAGCGUUAUCCGGAUUUACUGGGUGUAAAGGGAGCGUAGACGGUUAUGCAAGUCAGAAGUGAAAGCCCAAAGCUCAAUUUCGGGACUGCUUUUGAAACUGUGUAACUAGAGUGCAGGAGGGGUAAGCGGAAUUCCUAGUGUAGCGGUGAAAUGCGUAGAUAUUAGGAGGAACACCGGCGGCGAAGGCGGCUUACUGGACUGUAACUGACGUUGAGGCUCGAAAGCGUGGGGAGCAAACAGG
This 253-nucleotide ribosomal RNA is filed under the name uncultured bacterium. RNAcentral's name for it is "partial 16S ribosomal RNA". It matches the Rfam family "Bacterial small subunit ribosomal RNA", at positions 524 to 776 of the family's 1533-position model. The record is from RNAcentral.